Molecule: long non-coding RNA, 2852 nt
Filed under: Volvox carteri
Lineage: Eukaryota; Viridiplantae; Chlorophyta; Chlorophyceae; Chlamydomonadales; Volvocaceae
Description: long non-coding RNA (VCAR_LNC003849)
Rfam family: tRNA (bases 26-97)
Source: RNAcentral
CAGAACUUAGUAUUAUCGAUCAUAGGGCGCCGUAGCUUAACUGGUAAAGCACCACCUUAACCGGUGGGAGAUUUUGGUUCGAAUCCCACCGGCGUCACCAUGGGUUGUGAGACUUGUUCACUGAUAGUAUAUCAGUAUAUCUGAGGCAUUCCUCAGGGCAACCCGUGGUGUAUGUGAUGACAAGUCCAUCACCAGAAGGCUAGGCGCCGAGGAGGAGGAGGAAAUGGCUGCACAAGGUCAAUGGAGCUGUCCAAGCAAAGUACCUACCAAGAGGCUACUGAAACAUGGCUAGGCCGAACCUCGCACGAGCCUUAGAUGGUGACCUCUAUGAGGGGUGCAGAAUCCCCCAGCGGGUGAAGCGGGUCGUAGGGGGCUAACUACCCUCCGCCAGGACAAAGCGCAGGGUGCUGUGUAGAGUGCAGUAGUGUAAGGGUAGGGAGGCGGUGCGACAUGCACGUGGCCUGAAGUUGUAACAGGAGCACCAGACUCCGGCAGGUUGCGAUAACUGGUCGUGUUCCACAGCGACAGUGUGGCGUCCUCACCAACGAUAGGUGGAACUCUAGGGUGGAAAAGGGCCCGUAGAGGUGACGCGGUGGGAAUAUAGCUUAUAGGACUGACUAGGUGCAGACCUCAGAGCGUUCCCCCCUUAACACACGCCAGGUUGAGCGGACACCGGUGUAACAAUAAUAAUAAUAAUAAUCAUAGAAUAGAUAUGAGGGGCCGUAAGAAGGUCAUGUCACGCCAAAACAUCUGGAGCGCACAAAUUACGUGCCACGACCGAGUUAGUCGCUAUCCGCAGGUGGCUAAGCCAACCGAAGGUAGUUAGGCGAACCGCGUAUUGAUUUAAUUGAGACUUUGGGUGUUGCCUGACUAGCGUAUAAGGCGCUUUCCGUUGUGAUUUGAGGAUGUUAGGUUGUCGUUCAUCUGUCGUUAGUCGGAUGAGCGUUACGCAUCCAGGGUAGGGCCGGGUGUGAUAAGGCCCGGCGUGGAUCAGUCGGUACUUCGCCAUAAAUGCGAGUGCGAAGAGGCCAAACAUUUGUCGUUUGGCUCUCGAAGCAACUCUUCGUGAGCGUAUAGACCAUNNNNNNNNNNNNNNNNNNNNNNNNNNNNNNNNNNNNNNNNNNNNNNNNNNAGGAGGCCAUGCCGUGGGCAGCUUAUCACGGCAUCCCCCCCGACGUCAGCCACCUCCACACCUUCAGCUGCCUGGCCUACGUCCGCAUCCACCCAGCCAGCAGGACAAACUCGGUCCUCGUGCAAAGGCGGAAACCCACCGCCGACCGGAGCAUGGCAUGGCCGCCCACAGCAUCCUCAUCGAGGGCAAGGUGACCGUGAGCAGCAACGUCACCUUCGAUGACAACCGCCACAGCCCGGUUCACAACGGGCGGGCACCCCCUUCAGCACUAGCCCCGCCUGCCCCGGUGGCAGCGACCCCAUCGGCGGCUCUACACCGCCCACCAAGCUGCCGACCCCAGUGGCCACCCCACCUCCGGUGACCCCAACACCACCCCUCCAUCCCAACACCCGCAGUCAACGGCAGUCCCUGCACACUCCCGCUGGUCCCGGUCAGUGACGGCCCGCCCCCCCCGACAGCAGCAGCAGCGGCGGCGGCGGAGAGUCGGGAAGUCCACCGGCGGUGGAGGCAACAGUGCAGAGCACACUGCCAACGACAUGCUGGUGAUGGCGGACAACCUGCAAGUGGUCGCGGCCACCAAGGCAGCCAUCGCCGGUUGCUUCACAGUGCGUGACCUUGGCGAGGCGCACUACCACCUCGGCAUGAAGAUCGUCCAGGAUGGUCGCAACCGCUGCAUCAUGCUCACGCAGCAGCGCUAUGUGGAGCAGCUGCUGCAGCGCCACAGCCUGGAGAAUGCCAAGCCGCGCGCCACCCUGCUGCCUCAGGGCAUGUGUGCUCUGCCAGCCAGCGACGCCCAGCCGACAGUGAUUGAUGGCAGCGGCUACCGUGUGCUGGUGGGCGAGCUGAAAUACCUCGCCACCAGCACGCGCCCGGACAUCAGUGUUUUUUUAAAGUAAUAUAUUCCUUUUAAGGAAUAAAGAGGCCAUUUUGGCCUUUGGAAAUAAGGAACAAAUUGAGGCCGAUCCGUACAUUUUCAUUCCUCGAGCCAAAAACGUCCAUUGCUGUCAGAUUGCUCCAUAGUGUGCAGAACUUAGUAUUAUCGAUCAUAGGGCGCCGUAGCUUAACUGGUAAAGCACCACCUUAACCGGUGGGAGAUUUUGGUUCGAAUCCCACCGGCGUCACCAUGGGUUGUGAGACUUGUUCACUGAUAGUAUAUCAGUAUAUCUGAGGCAUUCCUCAGGGCAACCCGUGGUGUAUGUGAUGACAAGUCCAUCACCAGAAGGCUAGGCGCCGAGGAGGAGGAGGAAAUGGCUGCACAAGGUCAAUGGAGCUGUCCAAGCAAAGUACCUACCAAGAGGCUACUGAAACAUGGCUAGGCCGAACCUCGCACGAGCCUUAGAUGGUGACCUCUAUGAGGGGUGCAGAAUCCCCCAGCGGGUGAAGCGGGUCGUAGGGGGCUAACUACCCUCCGCCAGGACAAAGCGCAGGGUGCUGUGUAGAGUGCAGUAGUGUAAGGGUAGGGAGGCGGUGCGACAUGCACGUGGCCUGAAGUUGUAACAGGAGCACCAGACUCCGGCAGGUUGCGAUAACUGGUCGUGUUCCACAGCGACAGUGUGGCGUCCUCACCAACGAUAGGUGGAACUCUAGGGUGGAAAAGGGCCCGUAGAGGUGACGCGGUGGGAAUAUAGCUUAUAGGACUGACUAGGUGCAGACCUCAGAGCGUUCCCCCCUUAACACACGCCAGGUUGAGCGGACACCGGUGUAACAAUAAUAAUAAUAA